This 461-nucleotide ribosomal RNA is filed under the name uncultured bacterium. RNAcentral's name for it is "partial 16S ribosomal RNA". It matches the Rfam family "Bacterial small subunit ribosomal RNA", at positions 29 to 507 of the family's 1533-position model. The record is from RNAcentral.
ACGAACGCUGGCGGCGUGCUUCACACAUGCAAGUCGAACGGAAAGGCCCUUCGGGGUACUCGAGUGGCGAACGGGUGAGUAACACGUGGGUGAUCUGCCCUGCACUUUGGGAUAAGCCUGGGAAACUGGGUCUAAUACCGAAUAGGACCACGCGCUUCAUGGUGUGUGGUGGAAAGCUUUUGCGGUGUGGGAUGGGCCCGCGGCCUAUCAGCUUGUUGGUGGGGUAAUGGCCUACCAAGGCGACGACGGGUAGCCGGCCUGAGAGGGUGACCGGCCACACUGGGACUGAGAUACGGCCCAGACUCCUACGGGAGGCAGCAGUUGGGAAUAUUGCACAAUGGGCGCAAGCCUGAUGCAGCGACGCCGCGUGAGGGAUGACGGCCUUCGGGUUGUAAACCUCUUUCAAUAGGGACGAAGCGCAAGUGACGGUACCUAUAGAAGAAGCACCGGCCAACUACGUG